Molecule: long non-coding RNA, 659 nt
Organism: Armigeres subalbatus
Lineage: Eukaryota; Metazoa; Arthropoda; Insecta; Diptera; Culicidae
Exons: 3
Source: RefSeq, a predicted model, not a curated record
GCCAAGAGCAAGCUAGUCCGCUAAUCAAUCAUGUUAGCUGGCGGAACUUUGAUUAUAUCUUGGCGGAGCUCUUUAUCAUCGGAUUCCUGACCAAGCACGACAUCGAUCCCAACACAAACAAGAGGGGUUACCUUCGUUUGUGAACUGCCGGGUAAUGAAGGAAAUGACUUCAGUGGAAUCUUUGAUUGCGAAUCGCAUAUCGUACUGCUGCCAACCUCCCAUACGGCAGAUUCCAGGCAACCCAAAUCCCCGCGCUAUCCGACGCUGUGCCCUUUCGUUAUUAAGAUCACAUCCCAUGGAUUAUUUGCUUAGGCUGGGCCAGUCGACUGUGCAAGCGCAUCGAAAAGGAAUUAGUGAUCAACAAUCAAGUAACUGAACGUUUGCCGCGACAAGUACCGUGAGAAUUUUUUUUAAACGGAACUCGCUCUCUUAACGAUGGUCUGGAGGGGAGGAAAAAUGUGGCCUACCAGAAGAUCCUGAGCAAUUUUAGGUUUUUCAGCGAGCUUUGCCACUGACGAAACGGAAGAGGGUUUACCAUUGGCCGUCGUGCUGGCAUAUUGCUGAACUGUGAUGACUUGGGAGCUCGUCUGGAUUUCAAGACUCAGAUCACUAUACAGAGAUCUCGGCCAUUAGUCCCGUGUUAUUCGAUAGACGAAAAU